Molecule: long non-coding RNA, 1350 nt
Organism: Lolium rigidum
Lineage: Eukaryota; Viridiplantae; Streptophyta; Magnoliopsida; Poales; Poaceae
Exons: 3
Source: RefSeq, a predicted model, not a curated record
CAGAUUACUUUUUUUUGUUCGCCAUCAGACUAAUUGAGUCAGAAAAAAUAAUGCGGAGAUGGGAGGAGAAGAAAGCAAAGGAAAUUGGUAUGUGCUGUCUGCCUUCAAUGGUUAGCGAAGCAAGGUGAUUGAUUCACAAAACUCAUUCCCUAUUUACCCGCUUAAAUAUACUCUUGUAUAUUACCUGAUUAAUAAAAAAGUCUCCAUCCGAUGGAUUCCAGAAUGCUAGGCACCGCACGCUGCAGCCAAGGAUCAUGAUACUUACCUGACAAGUACUAGAAUUCCCAAGCCAGAGGCUAUGAUACCAUGACAUUUGGCUAAAGAAGCAGGUGCAAGAUGAUUGGAAAGGCCGGUGGCUGGAAGGGGAGCUGCCACAGCAGCCGCGGGCACUGGCUUCACAGAUGUGACAAAUCGAAGGAGCUCAUCGUGCUUCACCGUAGGCUGGACAGAGUGGAAGCCUUAACUCCUACCUGCGUGCUCGCUCUCCAUCACCGGCGCAUCGUGGAGGCCAUACCCCUGCCGGCGCGCUCGCUCCGAGCAACCGCCCCAUUGCCCACCCCACCCUGGUGGUGCUUCACUAUCGUCAAGUGAAGAUACAUCCAUCCGAGCUCGUACUCGACAUUGGCAGUAACCCUACUCUCAGAUUGUGUAAUCAAUUGAUAUUGUUCUUCUCCGUUGUGAUGCAAAUCAAAUCAUUUCUCAUCACUCCAAUUCUCUAUAGAGUUAUUCCUGCAGUAUUUUUUCUGAGGAUUUUGUAUGUACGUUUCAGGUUCAGCUAAACCCCCAUGCCACACGUGAACGCCAAGGCAGUUGCGGCACCGCCAAGGAAAUGAAGGGGUGGACCCAGCGCUGGAGACGAUGGUGUUGCUCGCAUGUCUAGACCAGGCCCUGAAGCACUGCAGACGAUGGUGUUGCUUUCAAGGAUGUGCAACUAAGCUUUGACCGCCGCCUCUUCAAGGUGUAAACUGAAGCCUGGCAGGAAACUGAUGCAUAGAGUUUGGUAGAAGAUUAGAAAAGGCCGAUGUACAUGACCAAGACACUUCUUGAUUGAAGAAGAUAGCUUGCAAAGAUUACGACUAAGCUUCUAGCUAGGAGGUGACAAUUAGUAAAAUUAUUGGAUCAUCUUUUAUAAUGUUGUACUGUGUUUAGCUAUAUUUGUAGUACUAAAGUGAGAAGAGUCAAGUGAAACGAAGAUUACUUGUAAUGCAUGAACAGUUGCGAAUGUACCAGUUAGAUCAACUUUGUACUAUACAUUGGUCUUCUUAGUUGAGUACUAUGGAAUGCUUGGAAUUGUUUAGAGAAAAUAUUACAUGAUAUCUGUAUUAAAUGAUAAUGAAAUAUGUAUUAAUA